AUGCCACUAAAUAUGGACUCUUCCACAGGCUUCGUGACUGCGAUGCUCCUCAUACUCGCAAGGACCCAUGGGGACUCAGUGACACAGACAGAAGGUAAAGUGACCCUCUCAGAAGAGGACAUUCUUACUAUUCACUGCAACUAUUCAGCCUCAGGAUACCCAACCCUAUAUUGGUACGUGCAGUAUCCCGGAGAAGGUCCACAGCUCCUCUUCAGAGCCACGAAGGCCAACGAGAAAGGAAACAGCAGAGGUUUUGAAGCUACAUAUAAUAGAGAAUCCACUUCCUUCCACUUGCAGAAAACCUCGGUCCAAGAGUCAGACUCGGCUGUGUACUACUGUGCUGUGGGUGACACAGUGACAGAAACCACAGGGGGAGCUGAACACAAACUCAGCACCAGGGGCCUGGCUGCUGAGCUCCUGCCUCUGGAGUCGCUUUGGUUCCUCUGUGCUGUGUUCCUCUCUGUAUCUCUGGUUGGCACACAAAUCAUACAAAUAAAUAGCAACAGAAGAAGAACGAGGAGUCUUCCAUCCUCAACUCUGAUUGGGACUAAAGCAGAAUCUGUGCAAACGUCCCUCAUGCGAAGCCUGAGAUUCCCCCCAGUAAAGCCACGUGACUAA
Non-coding RNA from Cricetulus griseus (Chinese hamster), 618 nucleotides. The record is from the annotation of a RefSeq genome assembly. Lineage: Eukaryota; Metazoa; Chordata; Mammalia; Rodentia; Cricetidae.